This 493-nucleotide ribosomal RNA is filed under the name uncultured bacterium. RNAcentral describes it as "partial 16S ribosomal RNA". It matches the Rfam family "Bacterial small subunit ribosomal RNA", at positions 29 to 507 of the family's 1533-position model. The record is from RNAcentral.
ACGAACGCUGGCGGCGUGCUUAACACCUGCAAGUCGAACGGAAAGGCCUGCUUUCCCUUGUGGAUUGCUGGUACUCGAGUGGCGAACGGGUGAGUAACACGUGAGUGAUCUGCCCCCAACUUGGGUAUAAGCCUGGGAAACUGGGUCUAAUUCCCGAUAGGACUGCAGGGUGGUGCCUGUGGUGGAAAACGAUUUUCUAGUGGUUGGGGAUGAGCUCGCGGCCUAUCAGCUUGUUGGUGGGGUAAUGGCCUACCAAGGCGGCGACGGGUAGCCGGCCUGAGAGGGUGGACGGCCACAUUGGGACUGAGAUACGGCCCAGACUCCUACGGGAGGCAGCAGUGGGGAAUAUUGCACAAUGAGCGGAAGCCUGAUGCAGCGACGCCGCGUGGGGGAUGACGGCCUUCGGGUUGUAAACUCCUUUCGACCGCGAGGAAGCCACCUGGUUGGAAGGGUGGUGACGGUAGUGGUAGAAGAAGCACCGGCUAACUACGUG